RNAcentral lists this ribosomal RNA (468 nucleotides) under uncultured bacterium. RNAcentral describes it as "partial 16S ribosomal RNA". It matches the Rfam family "Bacterial small subunit ribosomal RNA", at positions 28 to 507 of the family's 1533-position model. The record is from RNAcentral.
GACGAACGCUGGCGGCGUGCUUAACACAUGCCAGUCGAACGGAAAGGCCCUGCUUUUGUGGGGUGCUCGAGUGGCGAACGGGUGAGUAACACGUGAGUAACCUGCCCUUGACUUUGGGAUAACUUCAGGAAACUGGUGCUAAUACCGGAUAGGAGCUCCUGCUGCAUGGUGGGGGUUGGAAAGUUUCGGCGGUUGGGGAUGGACUCGCGGCUUAUCAGCUUGUUGGUGGGGUAGUGGCUUACCAAGGCUUUGACGGGUAGCCGGCCUGAGAGGGUGACCGGCCACAUUGGGACUGAGAUACGGCCCAGACUCCUACGGGAGGCAGCAGUGGGGAAUAUUGCACAAUGGGCGGAAGCCUGAUGCAGCAACGCCGCGUGCGGGAUGACGGCCUUCGGGUUGUAAACCGCUUUCGCCUGUGACGAAGCGUGAGUGACGGUAAUGGGUAAAGAAGCACCGGCUAACUACGUG